Melospiza melodia melodia is the source of this 3426-nucleotide long non-coding RNA. RefSeq lists it as uncharacterized. The record is from RefSeq and is a predicted model, not a curated record. NCBI's taxonomy places the organism in Eukaryota, Metazoa, Chordata, Aves, Passeriformes, Passerellidae. The transcript is spliced from 2 exons.
GCUUGAGGACAAGGGGACCUCCUGGAGCAUGUGGUCUACCCCCUUUAGAAGGUGGCAAAGGGAUACCAGGCAGGAUUGAGGACACCAGGAGAGGCUGGGGACAUCAGGACCUCCUGGAGCACCCUGCAUAUUCCCUCAAGGAGGUGCCAUGGGGACACUGGGAGGGGUUGCGGACACAGUGGUGGUUUGGGGACAUGAAGAUUCUCAGGGCGAUGGAGGGGAUGUGGGGACACUGAGGUACCACAGGGCCACCUCCAGCCCCAUGUCCCUGUCCCCACAGUACCUGUCUGUCUCCAACAAGGCCCUUGGCCACUACGUUUUUGCUCACUUCUAUCUGGUCAGCGCACUGUGUCAGAAUUAUAGGGGUCUCAGUCUCAGUCCUUGGCAGAGGGGCUUCAAUCUCUGUUCAUCAUGGUGGUAGUGAAACAGACAAAGGAUUUUCCAUGGGGAGGACCACCAAAGUUGCUCUAGCAAGUUCAUUGGGCCAAGAGGUGGGAAAAUUCCUGGGCUGUUGUCGCAAAGCAGGUGCAAGCACACAGGUCCAUCGCCCCCUUAACCAGGCCCUGUUAAAAACAGUGCACCGUGGUGGCAAAUAGCCCUGCAAACAAUCACUUGGCAGGCCAGAACUCUGCUCAAGGGCUUGGCGUGCAUCCACCUCAAUCAGGUCAAAAUUCCAAUCAGGGUCCUCAGGUGUAAGAGCCGAAAUGAGGGAUGUGGGACUCCAGGUGGCUCUUCAAAAUGCAGUUUAUUCUAAGAUGUUACAGCAGUCCAGGGUUGUGGGCGACAGAGCCUGUACCUGCAGCUGUCAGCUCCUGCUACAGGCAGGCCUGGAGACCCUUUGGUUUUGGUUGCAUUGCAUUAUAUACUUUUCUUUGCUGAGCAUCUUAAUACAGUAGAACCAACCUAUACCUUAACUAUUAUCUGUAGCCUGUCAUUACUGCUAUAAUUACCAUAUUCAUGUUGGUAUUCUCCAAUCACUAAAAGUUAGUACAUUACAGUUUAAGCUAGAAGUUGUUUUUCAGUUUUCUUGCAGUGGAAAAUCUGGAGACCUUUUUUUCUACUUGCAACAUCAGCAGGCUUGUUUGCCUGUGCUAUCUUUCUCCUUGGUAAAAACAUCUGUUUGUUUGAGGGGUGACUGCUGCUGUCUGGGGCUGCCCUUGUGGUACAGCUGGAACCUGGAUGGUUGUAACAUCUGUGGCUUCAGUGGCUGCACUAUCAGGCUCUCCCUCUUUGAGGCAAGGGGAGGGUUUCUCACCAUCUGGGGAAAUGUGCUCCUUCAGCAUCUGGCCCGUCUCCUUUACCAGAAACUCCACCCAAUCCGGGUGAUUAAUUUCUGGGGUGGGCUGUGGGGCAGGGUAAGGCUCUGGGGCAUCAUCCCUAGUUUCUGGGGUAGGAAUCAGGGUGCUUAUCCAAGUCAAUCUUCCCUUAUCUCUGAAUGCUUAAUAGAACAGGCAUAUCAGCAACACCAGCCCCUGUAUGAUAUCAUUAGCAUUUAGAGAAGAUUUGAACUCUUUGAAAACUGGUGGGGCAGACCCAAAGAGCUGGGUGAAGGGUUGGGAGAAAAUUUCCCCUGGUGUCAUUUCUUCACAGUAAGUAUCAUUAUUAAAGUAACCCCAAAGCCAUACAGUUAGUGUAUGAUAGCUCUGAAUCCAUGUGCCCUCCUUUGAGAGGAAGAUAAAAAUCCAUUAAUUCUUCACGUUAUUAACCCAUAAAGCCACAGUAGCCUUAGUUAUAGGAUUCAUGUUUAGAUAAGGGCCUGCAAAUAGGAGAAAUAUAGCCAUGACCACAUGCCACCCAAAACAGAGUAAGCUGGACCACUUGGUGCCACCUAACAAGAUUUCUAUAUCCAACACACAAAAAAUUAGGUUACUCAACAUUUUUUCUAUCUGUGCCCUCAGGCCCCAUAUUGGGCACCAGAAUCUGUCUUGGUUUGAAAAGACAGAUGUAAGGAAGGUAGGAGCCUCCCUGAAAUGGAAAAUGUAAACCCCUUCCCUCCGAAUUAUUAUAAUUUUGAAAUUAAGAAGCUCUCAGGCAAAGAUAUGGGAAUAGGAAGAACAGGAAAUUUAAAAUGCAAAUGUAGUAAUACAAAAAAACCCACUGACAGAGUCAGAAUAUGACCUGAGACCCUGUUGGCCAGGGUGUUGGUUGCAGUCCAAUUAAAUGGUGGCUGCAGUCCUCCUGGAGGGACAGAUGUGCUUCUGUUGAGGCAGUCAUCCUGCAGAAGGGUGUAGUCUUCCUCUGAAAGUCUAGUGGUGGAGUAGUCUGGUCUUCCUGGCCUUCCUUUGAAGAUCCAGUGGGAAAAGGCUGGCUGUGGUUUUCCACAUCUAACAUUAUAUCCAGUUAGGAAUGCUUGGCCCUUACCCAUGGGUGGAACAUCUCACAAUACGAUGAUGCAAUUUUAUCAGUCAUGCAGUGAUGCUCAAUGGCCCAUUAACAGAAGGUAUCUCCCCAGAGGGAGGAUUGGUCAUGGAAGAGGUAAAGAAAACUGCCCCAUCUGGUUUUAACAUCCUGGCCAUUAACAGAAGAUAUGCCCUCAGAGUUAUGAGGGAUGAGACAUGGAAAAGAUAAAGAACACCCCUUACCUGUGAGAGUCUGUCCGAAUUUUCCCUCAUCUGCCUCAUGAUUGUCAUUUGGGGACCACUGAAGAGAAGACCACCCCUGUCUGGAAUCUCUGGCUCUGAAGGAGAAAGUCACAUGCCAAAGGCCCUGAGACCUGGAGAGCACAGUGCUAAGUUACUGUCUUCACAGGUAUUGUUUGCUGUAUGCUACACUGAGCCCAAUGAAGGGGGCUCUGUGUCCUUUUUGCAACAAUAGCCUUGGAAGCUGUCCCACCUCUCGGACUGGCUGGAAUUCUCCUCAGUUUUGGGUGGUCUCCCACAGAGGACCCUCACCUGUUUUACAACCACCGUGACAGACAGACUGAGAUGUCAGAAGCCUCUCCAUCAAGGACUGAGACAUGAAACUCCUAUGUGAAAAGGCCCCUUUCCUCCUUCCAAGCACUGGGACUGAAACCCCCAUCCUGGGGGAGGUGUGUGGGGGAGGCAAGCUGACCAAAGGGAGAUGUUUGCCUGCAGCAGGUGUGACCACUGGACCAAGAAGACAAUGACUCUUGCUUACUGUUGAGAACAUAGAUUACCUGUUACGUCUAUUCCUUAUUGUAUCCCCCCCCCGCCCCCAAUUUUCAAUAGAAUUAUCAUAAUAAAAACCUCUGAGUUAGCUAGAGAUUUUGAGAUCUCCCCAAUGUAACAGGCAGAUCCUCAACUGGACUGGACCAAAGGACUUCGUCUCUACAUUUGGUAGCUAUAUCCCCCCCCCCACCUCUCUCUCUCUUUCCUUUCUCUCUAUCUUUUCUCUCCCUUAAUCCCUCUACCGCAUUUUGCUGUAGUCAUUCAAUAAAGGUGCAUUUGUUUUGAUUAUCACUGCCAA